Lycium barbarum (goji berry) is the source of this 1325-nucleotide long non-coding RNA. RefSeq lists it as uncharacterized. The transcript is spliced from 3 exons. The record is from RefSeq and is a predicted model, not a curated record. Lineage: Eukaryota; Viridiplantae; Streptophyta; Magnoliopsida; Solanales; Solanaceae.
GGGUACCGAUUUUGGGAUGAACAAAAUCGGAAGAUCAUCCGAAGCAGGAAUGUUGUCUUUAACGAAGAGGUACUGUACAAAGACAAGCUGCAAAAGCAUUCAGAAUGUCAGGACAAAGAAUCGGAAAUAGUCGAUUUGAGGGACUUUCCGGCACCUGAGCUGUUACACCCCGUACUUCGAAGAAACACUGUUAAAUUUGAAUGUAAGAAUGUCGAGUUACGACUAGUUAAAACAACUUUGGAGUAUGAGGAAUGAGACAUUAUUAAGUAUAUUGUUUAAAUAAUGGAUGAUUAUGAUCUUGUAAGUCGUCAUCGGGAAAGAGUAUUUUAAAACACAAGAAUAUGGUCAUUAUCAUGUAUAAUAAGUGAUAAAUAUCAUGUAUGGAGGGUUUCGGAAUAUUUCGAGAUCGAGCAAGUUGAAGAAAAUAAGUUCGACGAAAAUUUGAGAAAUGCCGGACAAAUUUUUAGUCAACUUUGGAGGGGUAUAUCUCUAUGCAUAUUUGGAGUUUUAAGGCGUUUCAAAAGCCUAAAAUGAAGUUCGUCAAGUCUAGUUUAUGAUUCAACAAACCACUCAUCGAUAGGACGUCGGAGUAGAGAAUUAUAGACGCUACAAACUGAACUGUCGCGCAGAAACAGCACUGCUACAGUACGCUACAGCACUGCUACAGUACUGUAGCUACAGUGACGCCGUUUCAGCCCUUAUAAAAAGGGGCAAAACCCCAUUUUUAUCAUCUAAAAACUUCUCAAAUUUUCCAGAAAAUUCAGCAACAAAAAGGGGCCUAAAUCUCACAUAAAAGUGAGGAUUGUGAGUGAAAUUUCAAGCUACGAAGUACUAAUCGAAGUCCGGGCAACGCAUAAUCACGAAUAUAAUUUUGUUUGGAGUUAGAGGAGCAUGGGAACAAUAAGAUGUUGAAGGAUUUGCUACUUUCAUAAAAACAAGGUUUUGGACGAAACGGGAUUUGAGUUUUGGCAAGCGUAAAGGGCAAGAAAGGUACAGACUACAGAUUUGCUGACCCACCUGCCUAGGACACCUAUUCUGCUAUUCUGGAGCGCUCUUUUGUCCAGAGCCUAUACUCUGGUACAGUCUGCUGCUGUUGGAUAUAUGUACGCUAUUCAUGGGUACGACGGGGCCCUGUCCUGUCUUAUGUUUCUGUUAUGUUCUGUAGAGGUCUGUAGACAUACAUGUGGGUUCUGUAUAUGUUUUGGGUUGCUAUGAUUUGUGAUAGCCUUAUCGGCUUCCAUGUGUUAUAUAUGUUCCUCUAUGACACUAGUAAUGUCGACUGACUUUUAUAUUUAUAUAAUCUGCUAGUCUGCUGGUUUGGAUUA